UACGAAGGGGGCUAGCGUUGCUCGGAAUCACUGGGCGUAAAGCGCACGUAGGCGGCUUGUUAAGUCAGGGGUGAAAUCCUGGAGCUCAACUCCAGAACUGCCUUUGAUACUGGCGAGCUUGAGUUCGGGAGAGGUGAGUGGAACUGCGAGUGUAGAGGUGAAAUUCGUAGAUAUUCGCAAGAACACCAGUGGCGAAGGCGGCUCACUGGCCCGAUACUGACGCUGAGGAGCGAAAGCGUGGGGAGCAAACAGG
This 253-nucleotide ribosomal RNA is filed under the name uncultured bacterium. RNAcentral describes it as "partial 16S ribosomal RNA". It matches the Rfam family "Bacterial small subunit ribosomal RNA", at positions 524 to 776 of the family's 1533-position model. The record is from RNAcentral.